This 491-nucleotide ribosomal RNA is filed under the name uncultured bacterium. Its description in RNAcentral is "partial 16S ribosomal RNA". It matches the Rfam family "Bacterial small subunit ribosomal RNA", at positions 28 to 507 of the family's 1533-position model. The record is from RNAcentral.
GAUGAACGCUAGCUACAGGCUUAACACAUGCAAGUCGAGGGGAAACGAUGAGAGAGCUUGCUCUCUUAGUCGUCGACCGGCGCACGGGUGAGUAACGCGUAUCCAACCUGCCUCUGACCAAGGGAUAACCCGUCGAAAGUCGGACUAAUACCUUAUGCAGUCGUCGGAAGUCAUCUGAUGACGACGAAAGAUUUCAUCUGUGAGAGAUGGGGAUGCGUCUGAUUAGCUUGUUGGCGGGGUAACGGCCCACCAAGGCGACGAUCAGUAGGGGUUCUGAGAGGAAGGUCCCCCACAUUGGAACUGAGACACGGUCCAAACUCCUACGGGAGGCAGAAGUGAGGAAUAUUGGUCAAUGGGCGUAAGCCUGAACCAGCAAAGUAGCGUGCAGGAUGACGGCCCUAUGGGUUGUAAACUGCUUUUAUGCGGGGAUAAAGUGAGGGACGUGUCCUUCAUUGCAGGUACCGCAUGAAUAAGGACCGGCUAAUUCCGUG